RNAcentral lists this ribosomal RNA (437 nucleotides) under uncultured bacterium. RNAcentral describes it as "bacterial SSU rRNA". It matches the Rfam family "Bacterial small subunit ribosomal RNA", at positions 29 to 511 of the family's 1533-position model. The record is from RNAcentral.
AACGAACGCUGGCGGCAGGCCUAACACAUGCAAGUCGAACGCCGUAGCAAUACGGAGUGGCAGACGGGUGAGUAACACGUGGGAACGUACCCUUCGGUUCGGAAUAACUCAGGGAAACUUGAGCUAAUACCGGAUACGUCCGAGAGGAGAAAGAUUUAUCGCCGAGGGAUCGGCCCGCGUCUGAUUAGCUUGUUGGUGAGGUAAAGGCUCACCAAGGCUACGAUCAGUAGCUGGUCNGAGAGGAUGAUCAGCCACAUUGGGACUGAGACACGGCCCAAACUCCUACGGGAGGCAGCAGUGGGGAAUCUUGCGCAAUGGGCGAAAGCCUGACGCAGCCAUGCCGCGUGAAUGAUGAAGGUCUUAGGAUUGUAAAAUUCUUUCACCGGGGACGAUAAUGACGGUACCCGGAGAAGAAGCUCCGGCUAACUUCGUGCCAG